UUCAGACGAUGCGUCAUGCAUAUCAAUAAGCGGAGGAAAAGAAACUAACAAGGAUUCCCCUAGUAACGGCGAGUGAAGCGGGAAGAGCUCAAAUUUGGAAUCUUAAAGGGUUUCCCUUUACGAAUUGUAGUUUAAAGAAGUGUUUUCUGUUGAGGUUUUGGUAAAAGUUCUUUGGAAUAGGACAUCAUAGAGGGUGAGAAUCCCGUAUUUGACCUUUACUUUCAACUUUGUGAUACACUUUCAAAGAGUCGGAUUGUUUGGGAAUGCAGUCCAAAAUGGGUGGUAAAUUUCAUCUAAAGCUAAAUAUUGGCGAGAGACCGAUAGCGAACAAGUACCGUGAGGGAAAGAUGAAAAGAACUUUGAAAAGAGAGUUAAACAGUACGUGAAAUUGUCAAAAGGGAAGCGUUUGACACCAGUGUUGUUUUUCUGAAAAUCAAUUAAAGAACUGUUUAUGCUAAGCUGUUUAGACUUUAUCAGCUAUCUGCUUAGUUUUGAGCUUUUCUUUAAUGCACUUUUCAGUUAACAAGUCAACAUCAAUUUCUUUUGCUGUAAAAAAGCUUGAGGAAGGUGGCUUGAGAUUCGUCUUAAGUGUUUAUAGCCUCUUGCCUAUGCAGUCGGAGAGAUUGAGGUCUGCAGCGUAGAUCCUUCGGGGCUAAAUGCAUUUGUGCUAAGUUAUAGCAUUUUAUAGACAACUUGUUGACUAUGAUUUGUCUUGUAGCUUACUCGCUUAUGUUAUUUUACCUACGCUUAGGAUGUUGACACACGCGCGUGCUCG
RNAcentral lists this ribosomal RNA (775 nucleotides) under uncultured Neocallimastigales. RNAcentral's name for it is "partial large subunit ribosomal RNA". It matches the Rfam family "Eukaryotic large subunit ribosomal RNA", at positions 18 to 643 of the family's 3401-position model. Lineage: Eukaryota; Fungi; Neocallimastigomycota; Neocallimastigomycetes; Neocallimastigales. The record is from RNAcentral.